This 567-nucleotide ribosomal RNA is filed under the name uncultured bacterium. Its description in RNAcentral is "partial 16S ribosomal RNA". It matches the Rfam family "Bacterial small subunit ribosomal RNA", at positions 355 to 938 of the family's 1533-position model. The record is from RNAcentral.
UGGGGAAUAUUGGACAAUGGGCGCAAGCCUGAUCCAGCCAUGCCGCGUGAGUGAUGAAGGCCUUAGGGUUGUAAAGCUCUUUCGCCGACGAAGAUAAUGACGGUAGUCGGAGAAGAAGCCCCGGCUAACUUCGUGCCAGCAGCCGCGGUAAUACGAAGGGGGCUAGCGUUGUUCGGAAUCACUGGGCGUAAAGCGCACGUAGGCGGAUUGUUAAGUCAGGGGUGAAAGCCUGGAGCUCAACUCCAGAACUGCCCUUGAUACUGGCAAUCUCGAGUCCGGAAGAGGUAAGUGGAACUGCGAGUGUAGAGGUGAAAAUUCGUAGAUAUUCGCAAGAACACCAGUGGCGAAGGCGGCUUACUGGUCCGGUACUGACGCUGAGGUGCGAAAAGCGUGGGGAGCAAAACAGGAUUAGAUACCCUGGUAGUCCACGCCGUAAAACGAUGGAGGCUAGCCGUUGGCGAGCAUGCUCGUCAGUGGCGCAGCUAACGCAUUAAGCCUCCCGCCUGGGGGAGUACGGUCGCAAGAUUAAAAACUCAAAUGAAUUGACGGGGGUCAUAGCUGUUUCCU